This 322-nucleotide ribosomal RNA is filed under the name uncultured eukaryote. Its description in RNAcentral is "partial 18S ribosomal RNA". It matches the Rfam family "Eukaryotic small subunit ribosomal RNA", at positions 1470 to 1796 of the family's 1831-position model. The record is from RNAcentral.
CCCUUAGAUGUUCUGGGCCGCACGCGUGCUGCACUGAGUGGAUCAGCGGGUCAGGUUGCGCGAAAGUGUUUCCUAAUCUUUAAAUCCGCUCGUGAUGGGGAUUGACGGUUGCAAUUUUCCGUCAUGAACGAGGAAUACCUUGUAAGCGCGGGUCAUCAUCCCGCGCUGAAUACGUCCCUGCCCUUUGUACACACCGCCCGUCGCUCCUACCGAUUGAGUGGUCCGGUGAGGCUUUGGGAUCUGAGCGGAAAGAGCGUUUCGCUGUUUCUGCCCGGAAAACUCAGUCGAACCUUAUCAUUUAGAGGAAGGAGAAGUCGUAACA